RNAcentral lists this ribosomal RNA (3037 nucleotides) under Prodigiosinella confusarubida. RNAcentral describes it as "bacterial LSU rRNA". It matches the Rfam family "Bacterial large subunit ribosomal RNA". The record is from RNAcentral. Lineage: Bacteria; Pseudomonadati; Pseudomonadota; Gammaproteobacteria; Enterobacterales; Pectobacteriaceae.
GGGUUGUGAGGUUAAGCGACUAAGCGUACACGGUGGAUGCCUAGGCAGUCAGAGGCGAUGAAGGGCGUGCUAAUCUGCGAAAAGCGUCGGCAAGGUGAUAUGAACCGUUAUACCCGACGAUACCCGAAUGGGGAAACCCAGUGUGUUUCGACACACUAUCAUGUCAUGAAUCCAUAGUGACAUGAGGCGAACCGGGGGAACUGAAACAUCUCAGUACCCCGAGGAAAAGAAAUCAACCGAGAUUCCCCCAGUAGCGGCGAGCGAACGGGGAAGAGCCCAGAACCAGAAUCAGUUUGUGCAUCAGUGGAAGCGUCUGGAAAGUCGCACGGUACAGGGUGAUAGUCCCGUACACAAAGAUGCGCUUGCUGUGAGUUCGACGAGUAGGGCGGGACACGAGAUAUCCUGUCUGAAGAUGGGGGGACCAUCCUCCAAGGCUAAAUACUCCUGACUGACCGAUAGUGAACCAGUACCGUGAGGGAAAGGCGAAAAGAACCCCGGCGAGGGGAGUGAAACAGAACCUGAAACCGUGUACGUACAAGCAGUGGGAGCCCCACCACCAAAGCAUUCUCUGGUGAUGAAGGCACCGCAACAGCAGCAUCGCGGUGGCGGCGCGUCUUUUGCGACGCCCAACACACAAGACAAGCGGUGAGUGCUUUGGGGUGGGGUGACUGCGUACCUUUUGUAUAAUGGGUCAGCGACUUAUAUUUUGUAGCAAGGUUAACCGAAUAGGGGAGCCGCAGGGAAACCGAGUCUUAACUGGGCGUCAAGUUGCAAGGUAUAGACCCGAAACCCGGUGAUCUAGCCAUGGGCAGGUUGAAGGUUGGGUAACACUAACUGGAGGACCGAACCGACUAAUGUUGAAAAAUUAGCGGAUGACUUGUGGCUGGGGGUGAAAGGCCAAUCAAACCGGGAGAUAGCUGGUUCUCCCCGAAAGCUAUUUAGGUAGCGCCUCGUGAAGUCAUCUUCGGGGGUAGAGCACUGUUUCGACUAGGGGGCCAUCCCGGCUUACCAACUCGAUGCAAACUACGAAUACCGAAGAAUGUUAUCACGGGAGACACACGGCGGGUGCUAACGUCCGUCGUGAAGAGGGAAACAACCCAGACCGCCAGCUAAGGUCCCAAAGUCAUGGUUAAGUGGGAAACGAUGUGGGAAGGCCCAGACAGCCAGGAUGUUGGCUUAGAAGCAGCCAUCAUUUAAAGAAAGCGUAAUAGCUCACUGGUCGAGUCGGCCUGCGCGGAAGAUGUAACGGGGCUAAACCAUGCACCGAAGCUGCGGCAGCGACGCUUAGGCGUUGUUGGGUAGGGGAGCGUUCUGUAAGCCGUUGAAGGUGGUCUGUGAGGAUUGCUGGAGGUAUCAGAAGUGCGAAUGCUGACAUAAGUAACGAUAAUGCGGGUGAAAAACCCGCACGCCGGAAGACCAAGGGUUCCUGUCCAACGUUAAUCGGGGCAGGGUGAGUCGACCCCUAAGGCGAGGCCGAAAGGCGUAGUCGAUGGGAAACAGGUUAAUAUUCCUGUACUGGGUGUUACUGCGAAGGGGGGACGGAGAAGGCUAUGUUGGCCGGGCGACGGUUGUCCCGGUUUAAGCGUGUAGGUGGGUGCUCCAGGCAAAUCCGGAGCGCUAUUAACGCCGAGGCGUGAUGACGAGGCACUACGGUGUCGAAGUGACAAAUGCCACGCUUCCAGGAAAAGCCCCUAAGCAUCAGGUAACAUCGAAUCGUACCCCAAACCGACACAGGUGGUCAGGUAGAGAAUACUCAGGCGCUUGAGAGAACUCGGGUGAAGGAACUAGGCAAAAUGGUGCCGUAACUUCGGGAGAAGGCACGCUGUGCGAGGUGAAGUCCCUGGCGGACGGAGCGUUGCGCAGUCGCAGAUACCAGCUGGCUGCAACUGUUUACUAAAAACACAGCACUGUGCAAACACGAAAGUGGACGUAUACGGUGUGACGCCUGCCCGGUGCCGGAAGGUUAAUUGAUGGGGUAAGCCGCAAGGCGAAGCUCUUGAUCGAAGCCCCGGUAAACGGCGGCCGUAACUAUAACGGUCCUAAGGUAGCGAAAUUCCUUGUCGGGUAAGUUCCGACCUGCACGAAUGGCGUAAUGAUGGCCAGGCUGUCUCCACCCGAGACUCAGUGAAAUUGAACUCGCUGUGAAGAUGCAGUGUACCCGCGGCAAGACGGAAAGACCCCGUGAACCUUUACUAUAGCUUGACACUGAACCUUGAGCCUUGAUGUGUAGGAUAGGUGGGAGGCUUUGAAGCGUGGACGCCAGUCUGCGUGGAGCCAACCUUGAAAUACCACCCUUUGAUGUUUGAUGUUCUAACGUGGGCCCGUGAACCGGGUUGCGGACAGUGUCUGGUGGGUAGUUUGACUGGGGCGGUCUCCUCCCAAAGAGUAACGGAGGAGUACGAAGGUUAGCUAAUCCUGGUCGGACAUCAGGAGGUUAGUGCAAAGGCAUAAGCUAGCUUGACUGCGAGAGUGACGGCUCGAGCAGGUGCGAAAGCAGGUCUUAGUGAUCCGGUGGUUCUGAAUGGAAGGGCCAUCGCUCAACGGAUAAAAGGUACUCCGGGGAUAACAGGCUGAUACCGCCCAAGAGUUCAUAUCGACGGCGGUGUUUGGCACCUCGAUGUCGGCUCAUCACAUCCUGGGGCUGAAGUAGGUCCCAAGGGUAUGGCUGUUCGCCAUUUAAAGUGGUACGCGAGCUGGGUUUAGAACGUCGUGAGACAGUUCGGUCCCUAUCUGCCGUGGGCGUUGGAAGAUUGAGGGGGGUUGCUCCUAGUACGAGAGGACCGGAGUGAACGCACCACUGGUGUACGGGUUGUGAUGCCAAUUGCAUUGCCCGGUAGCUACGUGCGGAAGAGAUAACCGCUGAAAGCAUCUAAGCGGGAAACUUGCCCCGAGAUGAGUCUUCCCUGGGCCUUAGAGGCCCCUGAAGGGACGUUUAAGACGAAGACGUUGAUAGGCUGGGUGUGUAAGCGCAGCGAUGCGUUGAGCUGACCAGUACUAAUGACCCGAGAGGCUUAACCUUACAACACCGAAGGUGUUU